This is a non-coding RNA of Mycena floridula, 90 nucleotides long. The record is from the annotation of a GenBank genome assembly. Lineage: Eukaryota; Fungi; Basidiomycota; Agaricomycetes; Agaricales; Mycenaceae.
GCAUUAAUGGGGUAGUGGUAACGGGUCGUUGCCGUAUGCCAUGUAUGCCGCCUUCUCGACCCGCCGGGGGUUUGAUUCCCUCUUAAUGCA